AUAUCAUUAAGCGGAGGAAAAGAAAUUAACGAAGAUUGCCUUAGUAGCGGCGAGCGAAGCGGCAAGAGUCCAAGUUUAAAAUCUGAGGUGUUCCACCUCCGAAUUGUAAUCUAAAGAGCGUAGCAAAAGGGGAGGUUGAAGCAUAAGUGCCAUGGAACUGGCUGUCAAAGAGGGUGAUAGCCCCGUAUUCGGCCUCCACCAACCUGAAUGUUGGCUCUCGUAGAGUCGGGUUGUUUGGGAUUGCAGCCCUAAAUUGGAGAUAAACUUUUCUAAGGCUAAAUAUCGAUGGGAGACCGAUAGCGACAAGUA
Molecule: ribosomal RNA, 309 nt
Filed under: uncultured eukaryote
Lineage: Eukaryota
Description: partial large subunit ribosomal RNA
Rfam family: Eukaryotic large subunit ribosomal RNA
Source: RNAcentral